Molecule: ribosomal RNA, 929 nt
Filed under: Staphylococcus aureus
Lineage: Bacteria; Bacillati; Bacillota; Bacilli; Caryophanales; Staphylococcaceae
Description: bacterial SSU rRNA
Rfam family: Bacterial small subunit ribosomal RNA
Source: RNAcentral
GAUGAACGCUGGCGGCGUGCCUAAUACAUGCAAGUCGAGCGAACGGACGAGAAGCUUGCUUCUCUGAUGUUAGCGGCGGACGGGUGAGUAACACGUGGAUAACCUACCUAUAAGACUGGGAUAACUUCGGGAAACCGGAGCUAAUACCGGAUAAUAUUUUGAACCGCAUGGUUCAAAAGUGAAAGACGGUCUUGCUGUCACUUAUAGAUGGAUCCGCGCUGCAUUAGCUAGUUGGUAAGGUAACGGCUUACCAAGGCAACGAUGCAUAGCCGACCUGAGAGGGUGAUCGGCCACACUGGAACUGAGACACGGUCCAGACUCCUACGGGAGGCAGCAGUAGGGAAUCUUCCGCAAUGGGCGAAAGCCUGACGGAGCAACGCCGCGUGAGUGAUGAAGGUCUUCGGAUCGUAAAACUCUGUUAUUAGGGAAGAACAUAUGUGUAAGUAACUGUGCACAUCUUGACGGUACCUAAUCAGAAAGCCACGGCUAACUACGUGCCAGCAGCCGCGGUAAUACGUAGGUGGCAAGCGUUAUCCGGAAUUAUUGGGCGUAAAGCGCGCGUAGGCGGUUUUUUAAGUCUGAUGUGAAAGCCCACGGCUCAACCGUGGAGGGUCAUUGGAAACUGGAAAACUUGAGUGCAGAAGAGGAAAGUGGAAUUCCAUGUGUAGCGGUGAAAUGCGCAGAGAUAUGGAGGAACACCAGUGGCGAAGGCGACUUUCUGGUCUGUAACUGACGCUGAUGUGCGAAAGCGUGGGGAUCAAACAGGAUUAGAUACCCUGGUAGUCCACGCCGUAAACGAUGAGUGCUAAGUGUUAGGGGGUUUCCGCCCCUUAGUGCUGCAGCUAACGCAUUAAGCACUCCGCCUGGGGAGUACGACCGCAAGGUUGAAACUCAAAGGAAUUGACGGGGACCCGCACAAGCGGUGGAGC